AUAUAACUAAGCGGAGGAAAAGAAACUAACUAGGAUUCCUUUAGUAACGGCGAGUGAACAAGGAAGAGCCCAUCACCGAAUCCUUCUCGGCCUCGGGUAAGGAAUUGUGGUGUAAAGGACAGUCUUUGUUAUAGUAUCGUCAGUCCAAGUUCUCUUGAAUGGGGCUUUCCCAGAGCGGGUGUAAGGCCUCUAGCGACUGAUCGGUGCUGUAACUUGGUUUGUCCCGAGAGUCGGAUUACUUGAGAUCGUAGUCCUAAGACGGGUGGUAAACUCCAUCCAAGGCUAAAUACCGUCGCGAGACCGAUAGCGCACAUGUA
This 317-nucleotide ribosomal RNA is filed under the name uncultured eukaryote. Its description in RNAcentral is "partial large subunit ribosomal RNA". It matches the Rfam family "Eukaryotic large subunit ribosomal RNA", at positions 40 to 350 of the family's 3401-position model. The record is from RNAcentral.